GGUUCUUUGAAAAUAAAAUAAAGAAUCUUACCUGCCCAGUGAUGGAAAUUUAACGGCCGCGGUAAUUUAACUGUGCGAAGGUAGCAUAAUCAAUUGUCUAUUAAUUAUAGACUGGAAUGAAUGGUAGAACUUAAGAUUAGUUGUCUUAUAUUUAGAUUAAAAUUUACAUUUUCUUGAGGAGAAGAAAAUGAAUUAGGGGGACGAGAAGACCCUAUUGAGCUUUAUAUUUUUAUUAUAUAUAUAGGUAGAGAGAAUAAUAAAAGGAGAUAUUUUGCUGGGGCGGUGGAUAUAUAUUAUAAAACAAUUUUAAAGUUUAAUAUUUAUAGAUGAAUAAAGAUCCAAUAAUAAAUUGAGUAUAAGACUAAGUUACUGUAGGGAUAACAGCGUAAUAUUUAUCUUGAAGCACAAAUUUAUGAUAAGGAUUGCGACCUCGAUGUUGGUUUAGGAAACUUAUUUGGUGAAAAUGUUAAAUUAAGUAGUCUGUUCGACUAUUAAAUUCCUAUA
RNAcentral lists this ribosomal RNA (504 nucleotides) under Newportia stolli. Its description in RNAcentral is "partial small subunit ribosomal RNA". It matches the Rfam family "Bacterial large subunit ribosomal RNA", at positions 1819 to 2600 of the family's 2925-position model. Lineage: Eukaryota; Metazoa; Arthropoda; Chilopoda; Scolopendromorpha; Scolopocryptopidae. The record is from RNAcentral.